This 409-nucleotide ribosomal RNA is filed under the name uncultured bacterium. RNAcentral's name for it is "bacterial SSU rRNA". It matches the Rfam family "Bacterial small subunit ribosomal RNA", at positions 509 to 916 of the family's 1533-position model. The record is from RNAcentral.
CAGCAGCCGCGGUAAUACGUAGGGUGCGAGCGUUAAUCGGAAUUACUGGGCGUAAAGNGUGCGUAGGCGGCUUGUUAAGUCANAUGUGAAAGCCCUGGGCUCAACCUGGGAACUGCNUUUGAAACUGGCGAGCUAGAGUUGAGUAGAGGUAAGUGGAAUUUCAGGUGUAGCGGUGAAAUGCGUAGAUAUCUGAAGGAACACCAGUGGCGAAGGCGACUCUCUGGACUAAAACUGACGCUGAGGUACGAAAGCGUGGGUAGCAAACAGGAUUAGAUACCCUGGUAGUCCACGCCGUAAACGAUGUCAACUAGCCGUUGGUCUUAUUUAUAAGAUUAGUGGCGCAGCUAACGCAUUAAGUUGACCGCCUGGGGAGUACGGCCGCAAGGUUAAAACUCAAAGGAAUUGACGG